This 77-nucleotide small RNA is filed under the name Methylobacterium phyllostachyos. Its description in RNAcentral is "suhB". It matches the Rfam family "Makes More Granules Regulator RNA (mmgR)". Rfam says of the family: SuhB later renamed mmgR (makes more granules regulator) was a putative non-coding RNA found multiple times in the Agrobacterium tumefaciens genome and related alpha-proteobacteria. Other non-coding RNAs uncovered in the same analysis include: speF, ybhL, metA, and serC. The record is from RNAcentral. Lineage: Bacteria; Pseudomonadati; Pseudomonadota; Alphaproteobacteria; Hyphomicrobiales; Methylobacteriaceae.
UUUCGUUGCCCUCCCAAGGGCGUUUCCUCCCUUGACUUCAGGCCGCUCCUUCGGGGGUGGCCUUUUCUUUGUCCGGC